GUUGGGGCAGGGAACCUCAUCUUUUACUGUGAAAAAAUUAGAGUGUUUAAAGCAGGCUUACGCCGUUGAAUACAUUAGCAUGGAAUAAUAAGAUAGGACUUUGGUGGUCUAUUUUGUUGGUUUGCACACCGAAGUAAUGAUUAAGAGGGACAGUUGGGGUAUUCGUAUUUAAUUGUCAGAGGUGAAAUUCUUGGAUUUAUGAAAGACUAACUUCUGCGAAAGCAUUUGUCAAGGAUGUUUUCAUUAAUCAAGAACGAAAGUUAGGGGAUCGAAGACGAUCAGAUACCGUCGUAGUCUUAACCAUAAACUAUGCCGACCAAGGAUUGGGAGACGUUAUAUUUUUAAAUGACCCCCCCAGCACUUUGCGAGAAAUCAUAAGUCUUUGGGUUCCGGGGGGAGUAUGGUCGCAAGGCUGAAACUUAAAGGAAUUGACGGAAGGG
RNAcentral lists this ribosomal RNA (440 nucleotides) under uncultured eukaryote. Its description in RNAcentral is "bacterial SSU rRNA". It matches the Rfam family "Eukaryotic small subunit ribosomal RNA", at positions 729 to 1164 of the family's 1831-position model. The record is from RNAcentral.